Molecule: long non-coding RNA, 593 nt
Filed under: Ananas comosus (pineapple)
Lineage: Eukaryota; Viridiplantae; Streptophyta; Magnoliopsida; Poales; Bromeliaceae
Description: long non-coding RNA (ACOM_LNC034445)
Source: RNAcentral
CUGUUAAGAUCGGCUUAUAGUGGCCCACGAAAUUAGAAAAGUGGCUGAUCAUCUAGAUAACUGAAUAACAAUGGACGGAGUAUAAAUGAGCGGGUAACGCCUAGAAGAGAAGUCUUUGUCCUGCGAAAAGAAGACCACUUUCAAUUCUACGCAUUUUCUUCGCUUUUUAGGAGUAGCUUACUUAUAAUCUGUCACGCCCCGGGGCCAGGCGUAGGCCCGCCCGGUGUGUGCCCAGACCCGCCAUAUGCCUGCACAUAUAAGCCGUUUACAACAAAAGCGAUAAAUAAACAUGUGAUACCAACAUCUAGAGAUAUCAGAGCGAGUAUAUAACUAGGUUCUAUCAACAAGUAGAAUCAAAAGAGACUAAACCACUAAAGUAAAAAGUAAAAUAAUACAACCCAAAUCUCAUGAUACAUAUAAUGGGUGGUCUCUACAAAAUGGUACAAGUCUCUCAACCUCUCCAAAAAGAAACAAAAGAGAGGUAGACCACCUAUCGACAAAUCCCUCGCUAGCUAGCCCGAGGCGAUUCCCUUCCCGCAAUCCCGAGCCUCUCCCGGAGUGGAAGGCUCUGUAAGAAAACAUAAAACAGGGGG